AUCCUUCUGUAGUUCAUAAGCAUGAUGACCAGGAGUUCACAUACAAGUGUGACAGGUGCCUUCCUCCAUCCUUGUGGCCAUGUGGGCACCUUGCCUAUCUGACA
Small nucleolar RNA from Otolemur garnettii (small-eared galago), 104 nucleotides. The record is from Ensembl. Lineage: Eukaryota; Metazoa; Chordata; Mammalia; Primates; Galagidae.